Molecule: ribosomal RNA, 400 nt
Filed under: uncultured bacterium
Lineage: Bacteria
Description: bacterial SSU rRNA
Rfam family: Bacterial small subunit ribosomal RNA
Source: RNAcentral
UAAGGAAUAUUGGUCAAUGGGCGGAAGCCUGAACCAGCCAUGCCGCGUGCAGGAUGACUGCCCUAUGGGUUGUAAACUGCUUUUGUCCGGGAAUAAACCUCCUUACGAGUAGGGAGCUGAAUGUACCGGAAGAAUAAGGAUCGGCUAACUCCGUGCCAGCAGCCGCGGUAAUACGGAGGAUCCGAGCGUUAUCCGGAUUUAUUGGGUUUAAAGGGUGCGUAGGCGGCCCGUUAAGUCAGGGGUGAAAUACGGUGGCUCAACCAUCGCAGUGCCUUUGAUACUGACGGGCUUGAAUCCAUAUGAAGUGGGCGGAAUAAGACAAGUAGCGGUGAAAUGCAUAGAUAUGUCUUAGAACUCCGAUUGCGAAGGCAGCUCACUAAGCUGGUAUUGACGCUGAUGC